Molecule: long non-coding RNA, 565 nt
Organism: Cebus imitator (Panamanian white-faced capuchin)
Lineage: Eukaryota; Metazoa; Chordata; Mammalia; Primates; Cebidae
Exons: 2
Source: RefSeq, a predicted model, not a curated record
AAGUGCAUUUGGGUUCGGCGCGCCGGAACUACAAUUCCCUGAAGCCUCAGCGGCGCGGGCGGUGAGUGGGAGAGAUUCAGGCUCUUCGGGGGAAGUGAGGCGGAGGACAGAGGCAGAAGGUAUUCAUUCCCUUAUGUAAUCUCUUCCCCUUGAGGGCAAGACCUGUGACUUGCGUCUAAUCAACAGAAUAUGGCAAAGGUAGCAAGAUAGACGUGAUUGCAUGUAUGUGAUGCUAUUACAUAAGUUUAUGACUUCUGUCUUGGCUUUGAAGAAGCAAGAUGCAAUGUUGUGCACUGCCUAUGGAAGGGGCCACAUGGCAAAACUUAAUGACCUCCGGCUGUCAUUAAGAAACUGAGGCUCUCAUUAUGACAGUCUGCAAGGAACUGAAUGCUGCUAAUAACCAUGUGAGCUUGGAAGUAAAUCCAUCACCAGUUGAGCCUCAAAUGAGACCUGAGCUUUGACUGACAUCUUGAUUAUAUAGCCUUGCAGAAGACCUGUCUAAGCAAUGCCUGAACUCCUGACCCACAGAAACUGUGAGAUAAUAAAUUAAUGUUGUUUUAAGCUG